This 735-nucleotide ribosomal RNA is filed under the name uncultured Fusobacterium sp. RNAcentral's name for it is "bacterial SSU rRNA". It matches the Rfam family "Bacterial small subunit ribosomal RNA", at positions 28 to 776 of the family's 1533-position model. The record is from RNAcentral. Lineage: Bacteria; Fusobacteriati; Fusobacteriota; Fusobacteriia; Fusobacteriales; Fusobacteriaceae.
GAUGAACGCUGACAGAAUGCUUAACACAUGCAAGUCAACUUGAAUUUGGGUUUUUAACUUAGGUUUGGGUGGCGGACGGGUGAGUAACGCGUAAAGAACUUGCCUCACAGUUAGGGACAACAUUUGGAAACGAAUGCCAAUACCUGAUAUUAUGAUAAUAGGGCAUCCCAUAAUUAUGAAAGCUAUAAGCGCUGUGAGAGAGCUUUGCGUCCCAUUAGCUAGUUGGAGAGGUAACGGCUCACCAAGGCGAUGAUGGGUAGCCGGCCUGAGAGGGUGAUCGGCCACAAGGGGACUGAGACACGGCCCUUACUCCUACGGGAGGCAGCAGUGGGGAAUAUUGGACAAUGGACCAAGAGUCUGAUCCAGCAAUUCUGUGUGCACGAUGAAGUUUUUCGGAAUGUAAAGUGCUUUCAGUUGGGAAGAAAUAAAUGACGGUACCAACAGAAGAAGUGACGGCUAAAUACGUGCCAGCAGCCGCGGUAAUACGUAUGUCACGAGCGUUAUCCGGAUUUAUUGGGCGUAAAGCGCGUCUAGGUGGUUAUAUAAGUCUGAUGUGAAAAUGCAGGGCUCAACUCUGUAUUGCGUUGGAAACUGUGUAACUAGAGUACUGGAGAGGUAAGCGGAACUACAAGUGUAGAGGUGAAAUUCGUAGAUAUUUGUAGGAAUGCCGAUGGGGAAGCCAGCUUACUGGACAGAUACUGACGCUGAAGCGCGAAAGCGUGGGUAGCAAACAGG